UUGACUUGCACCCCCCCCCCCUAAUGUCAAGCUAUAUAAAUGUGAUGGGUGCUGUGUUGUAUGAGAGUGUGGAAGUGUGUGCAAACUGAGCAGAGCUGCAUGCGCGAGUGUGUGAGGCAGAACAGAGAGUGUUGUGAGUGUGAGAGAGAGACAGUUGAGAGUAGUAGCCUCCUCCUUCUCAUUGUAAUCAUUCUCCCGGUUAUAGUGAGAUUGGUGUGUUUCGUGGACGUAGGUCAGAUUGGACCGAACCACGUAAAUCUGGUAUUCUAUUUUUGUUAUUUAUUUUUGCCUGUGUGUGAUUGUUGCUUCUAGAUCCACCCCAACAAUUGGUAUUAGAGCGAGGUUGAAGCAAAAACGCCAGAUCGAAGCAAAAUUGUCGGAUUGGAGCCUUUGUCCAGGAGCUCAAAACUCAGUUUUGAGGUCACCAUCGCUUUCCCUUCGUUGAGACAAAGCCCACGGUUGUAAUUGGAGCUCGAAUGGAGCUUAGACGACACCGCACGCGCCUGAACGCGUCUCCGACGGUCGAACGAUGCUGCCACCCUCCCCCACGCGCCUCUUAGAAAUCGGCGAGUACACGCACGCGGCCGCAUUCGCCGGUGAACUCUCGGCGAGCUAAAGGAAGAAGAUGAUGUGACGUCAGCGCCACGUCACCCGGCCAUGUCAGCGCUAAGCCAGCGCCCUGUCAGCAGCUGCAUUAGGCCGCAACAUCGCCACGUCAACAGCCGAGUCAAUGGUCCAUGUCAGUCGCACAUCAUCCGGACCCCACGCCACGUUAGUUGCUAACCACCGUGGGUCCCACAGUGACACACACAGCAAGGUGGACCCCACAAUGCCCCCGUUAGCAGUGGUCCCCACCGUGCCAAGUCAACACACGGCGUCAGUUAAUAGCGUCACUAACGUCGUCAGAAUAUUUCGUCAAAAGGGAUAUUCCGUUAAAGUUGAAUGAGGUUUGACUAGAACUUUGACCGGGCUUUUCUAAGCCAUUUUGGGUCCGUUUUUCGAUGACUUGAACCAUUUCUAAGGUUUUCAACAGUUCUAGAUCCAACUGUGCUGUUCAUUUGAACUAAUUUCGUCUCUACAUUGGUUAAUCGAGAUGUCGAACGAAAAGAGCUCACAGAUCGAGAUGUUUGAUGGCACGAACUUUGGUUUCUGGAAAAUGCAGAUUGAGGACUACUUGUUCGGUAAGGAGUUGCACUCACUAUUGAAGGAAAAGUUGGAAUCUAUGAAGGAGAGUGAGUGGGAGUUGCUUGACCGGAAAGCUCUUAAAGCUAUCAGAAUGACGUUGGUAAAGUCUGUUGCCUCAAUAUCAAGCACUUGACAACCACCAAGUCCCUUAUGGAUGCGCUAUCCAAUAUGUACGAGCAGCCAUCAAUCUCGAAUAAGGUACAUCUAAUGAAAAGGUUGUUUACCAUGAAUAUGUCUAUAGGUGAAAGUUUUAGUAGACACCUGAAUAAUUCAAUGAGCUGUGGGAUUAACUUGCCUCGGUUGGAAUUACAUUUGACAGUGAGAUCUGUGCCCUACUAAUUCUUAGUUAGCUGCCUGAGAAUUGGAAAGGUAUUGUUAUUGCGAUUAGUAGCUUCGCAGGAAAAUCGAAGUUGAAGAACGAUGAGGUCAUCAACAUGAUUUUAACGGAAGAGAUCAGAAUGCAGUCGAACAAUGCCUCCAAUUCAAGUUCAGCCUUGAACGUGGAAAGCCGAGGAAAAUGAAGCAGGCAUAGACGAUCAAACAAAUGUGGCAGAUCUAGGACCAAGCGGUCUAGAUCCAUAAAUCCCAGAGGUUCCCAAGGCACAAAGAACGUUGAGUGCUGGAAUUGUGGAAAGGUUGGGCAUUUCAGAAACCAGUGCAAAAGUCUGAGAAAGGAAUCUGAGGCGAAGACAGAAGCAAAUCGCUCUUCUUCCUUAGGAGAAAAAGAUGCAUUGAUAUGCUCUCUAGAGAGCAAGCAAGAGUCUUGGGUCUUAGACUCCGGAACCUCAUUUCAUGCCACUUGCAGCAGAGAUUGCCAAGAGGAGUACACACCAGGUAAUUUUGGUAAGGUGUACUUUGGCAACGAUCAUCCUUGCGACAUAGCUGGCAAGGGAGUUGUGAAAAUCAAAAUAAACGGGUCAGUAUGGAAGUUGAAGGAUGUCAGAUAUAUUCAAGACCUGAGAAAGAAUUUGAUCCCAGUUGGUCAACUAGCAGAUGAGGGGAUACACGACGCCAUUCAUUGGCAAUGAAUGGAAAGUUUCAAAGGGUUCAUUAACGAUUGCGCGAUGUAAGAAAAGCGAAACACUUUAUCUAACCUCCAAUGUCUUCAUGUCUAUUUCAGUUGCUACAAGAAAUGACGAUAGAAACAUGUGACACCAACGACUCAGUCACAUGAGCGAGAAAGGACUCAGGGUGAUGCACUCAAAAGGAAAAUUGAGUGGUCUACGGUCCGUGGAGAUAGACAUAUGCGAGGAUUGCAUAUCCGGGAAAUAGAAGAGAGUUAGCUUCCAGACAAACACUUGUGCCCCAAAGAAGGAGAGACUAGAACUAGUCCACUCAGAUGUAUGGGGAUCGGCACCCGUCUCAUCCAUAGGCAGAAGAAAUUACUUCAUCACAUUCAUUGACGAUCAUUCUCGGAAGGUAUGAGUUUACUUUCUGAUGUAUAAGUCGAAAGUCUAUGCUUCCAAGGUAUGGAAAGCAAUAGUUGAAAACGAAACUGGUUUGAGAAUCAAGAAGCUUAGAACAGACAAUGGUGGUGAGUAUGAAAACACAGGUUCAAGAAAUUCAGCUAGGAGCACGGUAUCAGGAUGGAAAGAACUGUGCCAAGUACGCCUCAGCACAACGGCGUAGCUGAGCGGAUGAACCGAACGUUGACUGAAAGAGUCAGAAGCAUGCGUAUACGGUUAGGCUUACCAUUGCAAUUAGCUGAGCGGAUGAACCGAACGUUGACUGAAAGAGUCAGAAGCAUGCGUAUACAGUUAGACUUACCAUUGCAAUUGGCACAACAGUAUACUUGAUUAACAGGGGUCCAUCAGUACCAUUGGACCACCGUAUACCAGAAGAGGUAUAGAGCGGAAAAGAGGUGAGACUUUCACAUUUGAAAGUUUUUGGUUGUGUUACAUGUGUACAUAUCAGUGAUCAUGUUAGAAAUAAGCUUGAUCCUAAGUCCCGGAAAUACACCUUCGUCGGUUACGGCGAAGAUGAAUGUGGGUAUCGCAUUUGAGAUGAUGAAAACAAGAAGUUGAUUAGAAGCAGAGACGUGAUUUUCAAUGAAAAGGUGAUCUACAAAGACAGGCACACAGUAGAAUCUACCGAACCAGUUCAGAGUGAGUUAACCUAUGUAGAUAUGGAUGAUGUCCUAGAAGGUGUUUGGACGCAACAGAAGAACGCCGAGAAUCCUCAGGCGGAGGAACAAGUGGAGCAAAUCGUUGCACCACCGCCUCCUACUCUAGCUCUGGAGCUUAGGAGAUUUUCUCGGCCCUAUGUAUUAAAAUAGAAGGUAUAUAGCUUACUUCUUAUAAAUGGAGGAGAGUCUGAAUGCCAUGAUGAAGCAUGUCAGGUGGCAAAUACGAGCAAAUGGGAGCUUGCGAUGAAGGACGAGAUGAAGUCCCUCACCUCCAACAGAACGUGGGAACUAGCUGAGUUGCCCAAAGGUAAGAAGACUUUUCACAACAAGUGGGUGUAUAGGGUCAAAGAGGAGCAUGACGGCUCCAGGAGAUACAAGGCUCGAUUGGUAGUCAAAUACUUCAAGCAGAAGGAAGGAAUUGACUAUACCGACAUCUUUGCACCAGUUGUGAAGCUGACAACCAUCAGAUCAAUCUUAAGCAUUGUUGCCUCGAAGGGCCUACAUCUCGAGCAGUUGGAUGUGAAGAUGACAUUUCUUCACGGUGAUCUUGAUGAAAAAAUUUAUAUGCAUCAGCCAGAAGGAUUCUCAGAGAAAGGUAAAGAGAAUCUAGUGUGUAGGUUGAAGAAGAACUUGUACGGUCUUAAACAAGCUCUCAGACAAUGGUACCGAAAAUUUGGCGGCUUUAUGCACAGGAAUGAUUUUCAAAAGUGCAACGCCAACCAUUGUUGCUACUUCAAGAAGUAUCAUCCUAGCUAUAUCAUUCUGUUGUUAUAUAUGGAUGACAUGCUAAUCGCAGGACCAGAUAUAGAAGAGAUCAGGAAAUUGAAGUAGCAAUUGUCAAAGGAGUUUGACAUGAAGGACUUAGGCUCAGCGAAGCAGAUACUUGGAAUGCGGGUCUCCGAAGAUAAGCGACAGGGAACGUUGCAGUUAUCUCAGUUAGAGUACAUUAGUCGUGUUUUACAGAGGUUUAACAUAAGCAGCCCCAAAGCAGUAAAUACACCAUUGGCAGGACACUUUCGCCUUUCCAAGUAUUAGGCUCCCCAGACAGAUGAGGAGAAGGACUUCAUGGCUAAGGUACCUUACGCCUUAGCCAUUGGAAGUCUCAUGUACGCCAUGUUUUGUACUAGACUGGACAUUGGCCAAGCAGUGGAAGCUGUCAGCAGGUUCUUGUCAAAUCCAGGGAAGACUCAUUGGGAAGCAGUGAAGUGGAUCUUAAGGUACCUCAGUGGCACUGUUAAUAAGUGCUUAUGUUUCUGCAAAGGAGACUUGAAAGUCAAAGGGUAUGUAGAUGCCGAUUUUGCUGGUGAAGUUGAUCACCGCAGGAGCACCACUGGAUAUGUGUUCACUGUUGGCACAACAACUGUUAGUUGGAUGUCACAGAUACAAAAGAUUGUUAUCCUAUCCACUACAGAAGCUGAGUAUGUAGUAAUGACAGAACCCAGCAAAGAGAUGAUUUGGUUUCUGGGUUUAUUGAUAGAGCUUGGAUUAAAGUAGGAGAGGAAUGUUUUGUAUAGCAAUAGUCAGAGUGCGAUACAUCUUGUAAAGAACUCUGCAUUUCAUUCCAUAACCAAACCUUGAAAAGAGUCAAGGUUGCAAGAAUCUAGCAGACAUAUUGACGAAAGUGGUGACUACUAAGAAGCUGACGUUGUGCUCAGUUUCAGUUGGUCUUCAUGCUUGAAGACAGAUAUGAGCACAUCAUUGGCCUAUACACAUGUUGAGAUGCUGCCUCCGUCUCCAAGUGGGAGAUUGUUGAGAUUGCAGCUGGUGGAGUUGUUGGCAGCCGCACCAACCAGCUGAUUAUGCUGAAUUUUGAGCUGCAGUAGGUGGAAACUGGCAACCACCUUCACCUACAUUGCCCACCUUGGUUGACUUGCACCCCCCCAUCUCAGGCUAUAUAAAUGUGAUGGGUGCUAUGUUGUCUGAGAGUUUGGAAGUGUGUGCAGAGUGAGCAGAGCUGCGUGCAUUAGUGUGCGAGGCAGAACAAAGUGUUGUGAGAGAAAGAGAGAGAUAGUUGAGUUGAGAGUAGUAGCCUCCUCCUCCUCAUUGUAAUCAUUCUUCGGUUAUAGUGAGAUUGGUGUGUUCUGUGGAUGUAGGUCAGAUUGGACCGAACCACGUAAAUCGGGUGUUCUAUUUUUGUUAUUUAUUUUUGCUCGUGUGUGAUUGUUGCUUCUAGAUCCACCUCAACAAUACCUAAACCUCAACGACCUCAGUAACCCAUUUCGUUUGGACAACGGAGACAACCUUGCCAUGAUUGUGGUCACCGAUUUGCUUACCUCCAAUAACUAUGCUACCCGGUAGUGUGCUAUGUGGCGUUCCCUUUGUGCCAAGAAUAAAUUGGGUUUUAUCACCGACACCAUCUCUCGACCCACCAAACCAGAGGAUCCUUUUCUUGAGCUCUGGGAACGUUGCAACAACAUGGUAGUUUCGUGGCUUCAAAAUUCCAUCAGCCCAUCCAUCAAGUCUAGCAUGAUGUUGAUGAUGCUUGCUACAUCUAGCUGGAUCUUCAGGAUCGAUUUUCUCAUCAAAACAGGCCUCGCAUUUACCAGCUCAAGCAAGCCUUAGCUCGCCUCCUUCAAGAGAAUGACUUUGUAAGCAUCUAUUAUGGUAAGCUCAAAACCCUUUGGGAUGAACUGUCAAUCUACGAUCCCCUUCCCAUCUGCACUUGUGACUCUCUGAAAUCCCUCACUAACCGUCACCAAUGCGACUGUGUCUUUCAAUUUCUCAUGGGAUUGAAUGACACCUAUUCCCCUGUUCGGGAUCAAAUCAUGCUCUUGGACCCUUUACCCCCUAUCACAAAAGUCUUCUCACUCAUCCAACGGCAAGAAUGCCAACACCAAAUUCUCCCAGCUUCAAAUCUUUCCCUUGAUUCCAUGGCCUUUGCCAUCAAAAUAGCUUUCCAAUUUACCCCUAAACCGUCACCCUAAUCCAAACCAAACCGGAAGAAAAAGCAUACUUACUGCACACAUUGCAGAAUUACUGGACAUUCUUUUGAGAAUUGUUUCAAAACUGGUAAUGCAGAGCCUCAUGUGUGUUUUUACUGUCACUUAUCUGGACACACAAUGGAGAAAUGUUACAAGUUGAAUGGGUACCCACCAGGCCACAAAUUCUACAAUAAAAUCCCAAACCCUGCUGUGUUUGCCACUUAGACUACUCCAAGUCUUGCCUCUGACCUUGAGGAUCUCAGUGAUGAUCGAGUUGGUCUGACUAAGUCCCAGUAUUAACAAUUGAUGGCCCUACUUCAGCCAAGGGAGUCUCCCACUGCGGCUCAGCCCUCAGCUAAUAAGAUUCAGUCCAACAUUCAUCCAGCUUCAGCUUCUCAGAUUUCUGGUAUCUCCUUUUGCUUAUCCACAUUCACACACAACUCAUUGCACACUCGAGACACUCAUUGCUUGUGCUAUAGAUCACAUGGUCUACUGCACCUCCUCCCUCACAAAGAGCAGUGCCUAGGUUUCUUAUUCUGUCAAACUACCAAAUAGGACUGAAGUCCUUGUCACUCACACAGGUAGUGUCCAACUCACAUCCUCAAUAUAUAUCACAGACGUUUAAUGUGUCCCUUCCUUUCAACUUAAUCUCAUUUCAGCCAAGAAAUUAGCUGCUACACUCACAUGUUGCCUGUUUUUAUUCUCUGAUUUUUGUCUUAUCUAGGACCUUUUAUCUUGGACAACGAUUGGGAAGGGUGAAGUGAGGAAUGGUCUCUACUACCUGCUCAGAACUGCAGUCUCUCCUUCUACUCUAGCUACCACUCUCACACAUUUUUUCCAUGCCAAACCCUUAAUUUCUGCAUCAGUUCUGAGUCCUGCUAGUGCCACUGACCUAUGGCAUUGUCGCUUAGGUCAUCUUUCAUUUCUUGUUUUAACUUUAAUUUCAGAUCCCAUUGUAAAGAAAAAUAUCACCUCUAAUGAAAAGCCUUGUUGCAUUUGUCCAUUGGCUAAGUUACAUCGGCUUCCAUUCUCUCACAGCAUCCACAAAACCUCAAAACCUUUUUCAAAUAGUGCACUGUGAUCUAUGGGGACCAUGUUUAACUACUGCUUAUGAUGAUUCUAGAUUUUUUCUCAUCUUAGUGGAUGAUUUCACUAGAAGCAUAGCUAUACCUUCUCAAAAAUAAAUCAGAAACAAGAAAGACCAUUGAAGCUCUCUCUAAUCUUGUUGAGACCCAAUUUGAACUACAAAUCAAAAUAUUGAGAACUGACAAUGGCCGUGAAUUUCUCAUGACAGACUUUUUCAACUCCAAAGGUAUUGUGCAUCACACCACUUGUGUUGCCACUCAACAAAAUGGAAUUGUUGAGAGGAAGCACCAACACAUACUUAAUGUGGCUCGUGCUUUAAAACUCCAAGCUGGUCUCCCACUUGAAUAUUGGAAUGAUUGUGUGUUGACAACAACCUACUUGAUAAAUAGAACACCUAGUCCACUUCUCAAGAAUAAAACUCUCCCUCUGUUUUGCGUCCACCCUUCCCAUGGUAGGAAAAAUUUUUGUUGGCAUUGGUGUGAUCCCAAGAGGGGAGGUGAAUUGGGUUUUAAAACAUUUUUCCCUAAUUUAAACAAUCACGCCGAUUCACCAUAUAUCAUAUCUCGUUCAAUAUUAAACACGUGUAUGUAAAAUGAUUACGUUAUUGGUUCAAGCAUACACGUGUAUCUCAUUCAAGGUAAAUGUGUGCAUGCAACUAAAUAUAACAGUAAAUGAAUGGGCAUACACAUAUUGAAUUUAAAGUACAGUAAUUUAAAUGAGAUAGGGAGAGAGAGACACAAGAUUUGUUAUCGAGGUUCGGCCAAAAACCAGCCUACAUCCCCGCCUUGGGCAUACCCCCUAGGAUUCCACUAAACCUGCUCACUUAACCGGGUAGAGUAAAAGCCUUUUACAUCCUCUCCUUACGGGGUGAGGAAAACCCCAGUUUAAUUACUAGGCUGAGCCAAACUAGUCUCACUUACAAGGCUGAGACUCCCCAGUUCAAUUCCAGGCUGAACCGAACCGGUCUCACUUACGGGGCUGAGACUCCCCAUUUCAAUUAACGGGCUAAACCCAACUGUUACAUAAAAACCAUUUUGUACAUGAAAGUGCUUCUGAAAAAUACAAGCAGAAAUGUACACACUAAGCUCAAUAAAAUACACACUUCAAUGAUAUGAAAUAAUGUUUAAGGGAGUAAGGGUGCUUAACUAUAUUUAAACCCUAAUAAAAAGUUUUCUCCAAAAAGAUACUUCAAUAAAAUUAUAGGAGAACUUAGGGUUUUUCUCUUUCAAUGAUUUUUGCACAAAUAUAAUGAAUAUGAAGAAUGAGUAUUAUGUUCUCCAACAAAGAUUUAUGCAAGUUAGAAAUACUUGGAAAAUUUAGGAGUUAAGCUUAAUAAAAUAUUUGUGCAAUAAAUAACUUCUCCCAAAAUAUAUUUAUCAAGGAAAUAAUCCGAGAGAAAUCCAGAGCUAUACUCUCAAAAGAAUAAAUGAGAGUAAGCAAGUGAAUACAAAAAUAAUUUGCCCAAAAUAAAUAUACUCUCUUACAAAAUGAUUUUGAAAAAAAUGGAUGAAAAGAGAGUUUGAGAGUUUAAGACAAGUGCUCUUUUUCAAAAAUUAUUUUUCAAAUAUAGAGAGUGAAAGAGAGUAUAAGAGAUUAAGAAUAUUUUACCCCAAGAAAAGAUUUUUUUUAAUGAAAAAUUAAUUUGGGGGAACUUUGAUAAAAAUUAGCCUAAAAGAUUAGAGAGAGAAAUUUGGCUAAUCAAAAUUGUUAAUCUGAGUUAUGGAGGGGGUAUUUAUAGAUUUUCAACAAAUCUGACCGUUGGGGGACACGCUCGGUAUUUUGGAAAAGUUGAAUUAAGUUUAAUUACGUUUUAAACACUUAAAAAAUAUUUCAACCCAAGAGCAUCGGUCGACCAGGCAUGAAAUGAACUAAAGGUUCGGUCAAUCGGACAUCUAAGUCCGAAGGCGAUUUUCCAAUUUAGUGCGGUUUGGUCGACCGGGACAUUUUGAACUGAGAAGUUUGGUCGAUCAGGUAGUUGGGGCAUCUCCUGAGGACCCUUGGUUGACCAGAGCGUUGGAGUACAUUUUGGGUUCGGUCGACCAGGUGGUCAAAAAGUUGACUCCAAGGGAGUUCGGUUGACCGGGUGUAAAUGAAUUGUCAAAUUCGGUCGACCGGGGCCAAAAUGAACUACCUAGUUCGGUCGACCGGACUGUGGUCAACUAGUUGACCUGGUCCGGGUUUGGUCGACCGGGGCAUUUUGUACAUGGUAGUUCGGUCGACCGAGUGUGCACAUUUUGUGCAUUUCGGUUCUGUUUGAGCCAACGAUCACCCUAUUUCAAAUGACCAAAUAUGGGUAUGCAUGAGUGAGUGUCUUAAGGUCAUUUCUAGGUCCUUUUUGAAGACACCAAAAAAAUCUGAUGUCGGUCGACCGUUUUCGUAAACUUCGUUUUAACCCCGAUUUUGACCCUAAAGUUAUUCCAAAAACUUUGUAUGAUUUUGGUCUAUUUAGAAAAGAGUUUUUGGUGUGAUGUGCUGGUCCCUAGGGUCUAUCUACGGUUGUUCUAAGCAUUCAUACACAUCAUGCAGAUGCAUGCAUUAUUACAGACCAAAGAUAUAAAAUUAAAUGCAAUUACAUAAAACACAAAUGUCUUCUUCUUCUUUUUGCUCUUCUGACUUCAUGGAAUACGCCGGAAAAAUAUGAUUUUGUGCUCCUCCAGGUUUCCAUGUCCUUCACCUCAUGUGUGUGCUGAAUCAUGAAUCUUUCAAAGAUACUAAGUGCACACAUGAGAUACUUGUGCUUUAUCAGCAUCAAAACAGGGAUCGGAUUAAAAAAGUCAACAAAUUUGAUCCCUGAGGUCACAUGUGCAUUUUUCUUGGUCACCCCUUUGGUACCAAAGGAUAUAAACUACUUGACAUUGAGUCCAAAACCAUUUUUAUUUCUCGGGAUUUUAUAUUCCAUGAGUCGAUUUUUCCUUUUCAAUCCUUGCCCAUCCCUACUUCCACCACACCCUCUAAUCCUAGCUUUGUUUUCUCUCAACCUUUACCUAAUAACAUUGAUUUUCCCUCCUCCACUCCCCCCUCCAAUCCCACUGACCCCCCAGAAACCAUGGCACCAUUGCUGCCCUCUACAUCAUCUCAUCCAUCUCCUCUCAACUCUAGCACAUCUCCUCUCCAUUCUCAUACAUCUCCACCCCUCCCUAGCCCUUCAAAUACUCCACCACUGCGCAGGUCAACUAGACGAAGGAGAGCUCCCCAGUACUUGCAGGAAUUUCACUGUGACCAGGCCUCAUUUUCAGCUUCAGAUCAAUCGUUGCCCAAGGUUUCUGCACCUCCUACUGGCAAGCUGUGGAACACCCUGGCUGGUGUCAGGCCAUGAAUAAUGAGCUGGAAACUUUAGAACAGAACCAUACUUGGAUUUCAUUGAUUUACCUCCUGGAAAAGAUGCCAUUAACUGCAAGUAUGUCUACAAAACCAAGUUUAAUUCUGAUGGCUCAGUUGAGAGAUUGAAAGCAUGACUUGUUGCCAAAGGUUUUACACAACAAGAGAGCAUAGAUUACACGGAGACUUUUUCCCCCGUAGCUAAACUUGUAACAGUGCGGGUUUUGCUCUCGGUGGCAGCCAUUCAAGGAUGGUUUCUUCAUCAAUUUGAUGUUAACAACGCUUUUCUCCAUGGAGACUUAGAAGAGGAGAUUUAUAUGCGCACACCCCUGGGAUACAACAAAGGAGGACCUCACCAAGUAUGCAAGUUGCUUAAGAGCCUUUAUGGCCUUAAGCUAGCCUCAAGACAAUGGUAUUCAAAAUUCUCAUCCUCUCUUAUUGCUUUUGGUUUUCAGCAAUCUCAAGCCGACUAUAGCCUCUUACCAAGCUUGAUGGUGCUGCUUUUACUGCCUUAUUAAUCUAUGUGGACGAUAUUAUUGUGGCUGGAAAUUGUCCCACAACCAUCACAGCUCUCAAGUCUUUCCUUAAUAGCCACUUUUAGAUCAAUGAUCUUGGUUCCUUAUGCUAUUUUCUUGGCUUGGAAGUUGCCUGAUCUUCUAAAGGAAUUCACUUAUGCCAACGUAAAUAUGCAUUGGAUAUUUUGGCUGACUCAGGAACCCUUGGCGGCAAACCCACCAAGCUGCCUAUUGACCAGAAUUUUAAAUUGAGCAAGGAUUCCAGUGACCCCAUUUCAGAUCCGAGCUCUUAUAGGAAGCUCAUUGGUCGCUUAUUGUAUCUAACCCUCACUCGGCCUGAUUUGUGCUACAUUGUCCAGCUCCUUAGUCAAUUUAUGGACAACCUGAGGACUCAACAUUUGGCCGUUGCACACAAAGUCCUGCGAUACAGCAAAGCUGCCCCGGGACAAGGUAUUUUGCUGCCCUCAACCUCUUCACUUCAGCUUAAAGCUUAUUGCAACUCGGAUUGGGCUUCAUGCCCCGACACUCGUCGAUCUAUUACAGGAUAUUGUAUCCUUCUUGGUGAUUCACUUGUUUCUUGGAAAACAAAAAAGCAAACUGUGGUAUCUCGUUCAUCAGUUGAAGCCGAGUACCGUUCCAUGGCCUCCACUUGUUCCGAACUCACUUAGUUGCGCUACUUGGUUUCUGAUCUCAGAAUUCCACAUCCACAAGCUGCAGUCCUUUAUUGUGACAACCAAGCCGCUCUUCACAUAGCUGCCAAUCCGGUUUUCCAUGAACAGACUAAGCAUACUGAGUUGGAUUGCCACCUAAUAAGAGAUAAAAUUCAAGAAGGAGCUGUCACCACAGCUCAUAUUGCAUCCCCAUACCAGCUCGCUGACAUUUUUACAAAGGCAUUGCCCUCUUACCUUCUCCAACGGCAUUUACCCAAGAUGGGAAUAGUGAAUCUCUAUUCUCCAUCUUGCGGCUAUUACAGAAUGAGGGUCAACACCAAGCUGCAGGAUGACCAACUAACCAGCUAUAUUCUUUUUUAUUUUUUUAUUUGUUGAUUAUUCCUUUUUAUUAUUAUUUGUACCUUUUUUCCUUUAUUAAGUUGCCUUCUAUUUUGCUGGUGUAUAAAUCAGUUAGUUUGUUAGGAUUUUUUGUAUAUAAGUCAGAUGCUGUAUCUGAACAGGAACUAAGGGAAAUUUUGAGAAAGCAUUUCCAGAAUUCCUUGCCUCA
This is a long non-coding RNA of Malania oleifera, 12368 nucleotides long. RefSeq lists it as uncharacterized. The transcript has 2 exons. NCBI's taxonomy places the organism in Eukaryota, Viridiplantae, Streptophyta, Magnoliopsida, Santalales, Ximeniaceae. The record is from RefSeq and is a predicted model, not a curated record.